RNAcentral lists this ribosomal RNA (357 nucleotides) under Allorhogas sp. CNIN 781. RNAcentral describes it as "Allorhogas sp. CNIN781 partial 16S ribosomal RNA". Lineage: Eukaryota; Metazoa; Arthropoda; Insecta; Hymenoptera; Braconidae. The record is from RNAcentral.
CUGCCCAAUGAAAAUUUAUUAAAUGGCUGCAGUAUAAAUAACUGUACUAAGGUAGCAUAAUAAUUUGUUUUUUAAUUAAAAACUAGAAUGAAAGAUUCAAUGAAAUAUAUACUUUAUUAAAAUUAAAAAUUAAAAUUUUUAUUUAAGUAAAAAAACUUAAAUAUAAUUAAAAGACAACAAGACCCUAUAAAAUUUAAUUUUAAAUUUAUAAUAAAAUUACAAUUUUAUAUUAAUAUUAAAAUUUUAUUGGGGUAAUAAAAAAAUUCACCAAACUUUUUUAAACUAAACAAUAAUUAAUGAAUAAAAUUUCUUUUUUAAAAAAUAAUAAAAUUAAUUACUUUAGGGAUAACAGCAUAA